UCACAUUGUACCUGUAUAAUCCAGGUCGUUCACGGACAAAUGCAUUUAAAAUGUUCAAGUAACUAGAGUUAUAUUUAUCGUACAUAAACAUAAAUGUUAUUUGACAAAAGAGAGUUUACACAACACACUCUGAAGGCAAUUGAAAAAGUGGAAAAGUUACAUCAACGAAUCUAGGUCAAAACUGACUUCGGACAAUAGACAUUGCAGUCAACAACAUGCUCUCCAGAAGUGUAGAGCAAUCUAUAGAAGGAAAAGAACAGAAUGACAGAUUCGGAAACAAAGUCAGAGGAAUCAUAGGGAGGAAAGAGCGUCGUUCCUUUGAUCCAUUUCGACUUAUGAUUGAAUUCAAAGCCACAGCGCCUGCUGGGUUUCCUGAUCGCCCAAAAAGAGGAGUUGAAACAGUAACUUAUGUUUUAGAUGGAAAAUUGAGACACGAAGAUUGCUCGAAGCAAGGGACAACAAUAGUACAUCCUGGUGAUGUCCAGUACAUGUUAGCAGGAAAAGGCAUUAAACAUUGUGACGUGCCAGACGACCAAAAUGAAGUUCAUGGACUACAGUUGUGGGUAGACCUACCUGGUAAAAUGAUGAUCGAACCUAAUCAUGAUGUCAUGAAAAACAGACCUUUUCUGUCGAAUGAAAAACCUGAUGGUGUGCAAGUGAAGAUCAUUGCUGGAAAAUCAUUGGGACAUGAGCAAUUCAUAAUAAUGCGUGCAGAGCUCAAUGCAUGAUCGGUGGUGCCAAAUACUGUAUGCGUCACAAAAGACUCCCUCACAUCACCAAGUCACUUGCCUGUCGCAAAGACCACAAGGGUUCACGGUUGUAUUUCUCUGAUGAGGACCAUGGUUGAGUUGAAUAUCACUUGCUAUCACCAAUGGCCACGCAUUUCACCGACACGCCUAUAAUGUUCUUGGACUUCAAGCUAGACAAACAAGCUGUACUUAACCAAACUAUACCAGAAGGAUGGAAUGCAUUCAUAUAUAUUUUAUCAGGACAGGCAACUUUUGGUGAUGGUGAAGCUGCAAAACAAUACGGUGCUCAUUGCACACUUAUUUUAGAUCAAAUUGGACAAAGAAUUGCAGUAGAUAAUACGAGCCAGCAGGAGUGCCGCUUUUUGUUGAUAGGUGGUAAACCUCAUGGGAAAACGAUUAAACAGUUUGGCCCUUUUGUAAUAAAUGAUGAAGAAGAAAUGAAUGGAAGAGGUUAUAUCAGAUUAUAAAGCAGGAAGGAACGGUUUUGAAAAGACAUUCGAAUGGGACUCUGAAUAUGUAAUUAAUCGAUAAUCAAACAAUUACAAUGUAUUAUUUUAUAUAUGUUUAAUUUGAGCAAAAUAGUACUUUUUGUGGGGUUUUUUAAUAACACAUUUUGGAUUUGAGCCCUUUCUGUCAAUUUUGACUGAUACUUUUUUUGCAAUGAAGAACCAACUAGGAGAUAUUCUAGCUUUUA
RNA transcript from Mytilus californianus (California mussel), 1443 nucleotides. It is a transcript of the gene named pirin-like, with no coding region annotated. The transcript has 10 exons. Lineage: Eukaryota; Metazoa; Mollusca; Bivalvia; Mytilida; Mytilidae. The record is from RefSeq and is a predicted model, not a curated record.